RNAcentral lists this ribosomal RNA (464 nucleotides) under Vreelandella stevensii. RNAcentral describes it as "partial 16S ribosomal RNA". It matches the Rfam family "Bacterial small subunit ribosomal RNA", at positions 339 to 795 of the family's 1533-position model. Lineage: Bacteria; Pseudomonadati; Pseudomonadota; Gammaproteobacteria; Oceanospirillales; Halomonadaceae. The record is from RNAcentral.
CUACGGGUGUCUGCAGUGGGGAAUAUUGGACAAUGGGCGAAAGCCUGAUCCAGCCAUGCCGCGUGUGUGAAGAAGGCCUUCGGGUUGUAAAGCACUUUCAGUGGGGAAGAAAGCCUUGGGGCUAAUACCCUCGAGGAAGGACAUCACCCACAGAAGAAGCACCGGCUAACUCCGUGCCAGCAGCCGCGGUAAUACGGAGGGUGCGAGCGUUAAUCGGAAUUACUGGGCGUAAAGCGCGCGUAGGCGGUCUGAUAAGCCGGUUGUGAAAGCCCCGGGCUCAACCUGGGAACGGCAUCCGGAACUGUCAGGCUAGAGUGCAGGAGAGGAAGGUAGAAUUCCCGGUGUAGCGGUGAAAUGCGUAGAGAUCGGGAGGAAUACCAGUGGCGAAGGCGGCCUUCUGGACUGACACUGACGCUGAGGUGCGAAAGCGUGGGUAGCAAACAGGAUUAGAUACCCCUGUAGUC